RNAcentral lists this ribosomal RNA (434 nucleotides) under uncultured bacterium. Its description in RNAcentral is "bacterial SSU rRNA". It matches the Rfam family "Bacterial small subunit ribosomal RNA", at positions 357 to 782 of the family's 1533-position model. The record is from RNAcentral.
GGGAAUUUUGGGCAAUGGGCGCAAGCCUGACCCAGCGACGCCGCGUGGAGGAUGAAGGCCUUCGGGUUGUAAACUCCUGUCAGGUGGGAAGAAAUCUCUGCCGGUGAAUAUCCGGCAGCGUUGACGGUACCACCAAAGGAAGCCCCGGCUAACUCCGUGCCAGCAGCCGCGGUAAUACGGAGGGGGCAAGCGUUAUUCGGAUUUACUGGGCGUAAAGCGCACGUAGGCGGCAUUGCAAGUCGUAGGUGAAAGCCCUCGGCUCAACCGAGGAAUUGCCUUCGAAACUGCGCUGCUUGAGUCCGGGAGGGGGGAGCGGAAUUCCCAGUGUAGCGGUGAAAUGCGUAGAUACUGGGAGGAACACCGGUGGCGAAGGCGGCUCCCUGGACCGGUACUGACGCUGAGGUGCGAAAGCGUGGGUAGCAAACAGGAUUAGA